This is a non-coding RNA of Caenorhabditis elegans, 193 nucleotides long. The record is from Ensembl. Lineage: Eukaryota; Metazoa; Nematoda; Chromadorea; Rhabditida; Rhabditidae.
UGUUCGUUCAAUAUUGAAUAUUACAAGAGCUCCGUUUUGGUUUGACAACAAAAGAUAGGUGUUAUUAAGUGUGAUAUAUAAAAGAAGAACAAGUGUGACAAGUGACUCCUUCCGCUGAUUUGAGGUCAGUUUUUGAAAGAAAAAAUUUUCGCAACAAUUUCUGUUCAAGAUUCGUAUGAGAGUGGGACGAAAA